GAUGAAGAACGUAGUGAAAUGCGAUAAGUAAUGUGAAUUGCAGAAUUCAGUGAAUCAUCGAAUCUUUGAACGCACCUUGCACCCUUUGGCAUUCUGAAGGGUAUGCUCGUUUGAGUGUCAUUGUACUCUCACACUCCCGAUCUUUGCAUUGGGAGCAGUGGACUUGGGUUUGCUGCUUCACCGUCGCUUACCUCAAAUAGGUUAGUGCAACUCUUGGUUGGACAUAGUACGGCGUGAUAAGUGUUCUUCGCCGGUGCCUCGCAAAGAGGGUGGCCGAUCGGGAUGUUGUGCUCCAAACCGUCUUCGGACAAUCUCUGACGUCUUGACCUCAAAUCGAGUAAGACUACCCGCUGAACUUAAGCAUAUCAAUAAGCGGAGGA
Molecule: unclassified non-coding RNA, 380 nt
Filed under: soil metagenome
Description: partial contains 5.8S ribosomal RNA, internal transcribed spacer 2, and large subunit ribosomal RNA
Rfam family: 5.8S ribosomal RNA (bases 1-120)
Source: RNAcentral